Molecule: ribosomal RNA, 429 nt
Filed under: uncultured archaeon
Lineage: Archaea
Description: bacterial SSU rRNA
Rfam family: Archaeal small subunit ribosomal RNA
Source: RNAcentral
UACCUGCAGCUCGAGUGGUAACCGCUAUUAUUGGGCCUAAAGCGUCCGUAGCCGGUUUGGUAAAUAUCUGGGUAAAUCGUGAGGCUUAACUUCACGAAUUUCGGAUAGACUGCCAGACUUGGGAUCGGGGGAGGUCAGAGGUACUCCAGGGGUAGCGGUGAAAUGUUGUAAUCCUUGGAGGACCACCGGUAGCGAAGGCGUCUGACUAGAACGAGUCCGACGGUGAGGGACGAAGCCCUGGGGCGCAAACCGGAUUAGAUACCCGGGUAGUCCAGGGUGUAAACUAUGUGGGCUUUGUAUUGGAGGUCCCACGUGGGCGUCCAGUGCAGAAGAGAAGUUGUUAAGCCCACCGCCUGGGAAGUACGGUCGCAAGGCUGAAACUUAAAGGAAUUGGCGGGGGAGCACAGCAACGGGAGGAGCGUGCGGUUU